RNAcentral lists this transfer RNA (73 nucleotides) under Auriglobus modestus (bronze puffer). Its description in RNAcentral is "tRNA-Lys". Lineage: Eukaryota; Metazoa; Chordata; Actinopteri; Tetraodontiformes; Tetraodontidae. The record is from RNAcentral.
CACUAAGAAGCUAUCACGGGCUUAGCGUUAGCCUUUUAAGCUAAAGAGGGUGUCUCCCAAACGCCCUUAGUGA